GACGAACGCUGGCGGCGUGCUUAACACAUGCAAGUCGAACGGAAAGGCCCUGCUUUUGUUGGGUGCUCGAGUGGCGAACGGGUGAGUAACACGUGAGUAACCUGCCCUUGACUUUGGGAUAACUUCAGGAAACUGGGGCUAAUACCUGAUAGGAGCUCCUGCUGCAUGGUGGGGGUUGGAAAGUUUCGGCGGUUGGGGAUGGACUCGCGGCUUAUCAGCUUGUGGGUGGGGUAGUGGCUUACCAAGGCUUUGACGGGUAGCCGGCAUGAGAGGGUGACCGGCCACCUUGGGACUGAGGUACGGAGCAGACUGCUACGGGAGGCAGCAGUGGGGAAUAUUGCACAGUGGGCGGAAGCCUGAUGCAGCGACGCCGCGUGCGGGAUGAAGGCCUUCGGGUUGUAAACCGCUUUCGCCUGUGACGAAGCGUGGGUGACGGUAAUGGGUAAAGAAGCACCGGCUAACUACGUG
This 468-nucleotide ribosomal RNA is filed under the name uncultured bacterium. Its description in RNAcentral is "partial 16S ribosomal RNA". It matches the Rfam family "Bacterial small subunit ribosomal RNA", at positions 28 to 507 of the family's 1533-position model. The record is from RNAcentral.